AACGCAAAUUGCGCUUUUGGGAUAUGCCCGAAAGCACGCCUCUUUGAGUAUCGAUUACACCUCUCAACUCAGCUUUGCUGAUGAUUGGAGAAUGAGCGUUUCUCUUGUUUGUUUCAAACAAGUCGCUCGAAAUGCAUUUUUGGAGCAGAGAUCGCUGUCUUCGUCAUCAAUACUUCGGUAUUGAUCCGCAGCGACCGCUUCGAAGACCUCAAGCAUGGACAAAACUCCGAUGCUUUCGAUGGGAUUCGACAGCAAUGGUCGUCUGUUGGUAGAGGCACAGAGAUUGCUCCCACUACUUUCGAAGUUGUAAUUUGAAUUAGAUCUCAAAUGAAGCGAGAGGACCCGCCGAACUUAA
RNAcentral lists this unclassified non-coding RNA (355 nucleotides) under uncultured fungus. RNAcentral describes it as "partial contains 5.8S ribosomal RNA and internal transcribed spacer 2". Lineage: Eukaryota; Fungi. The record is from RNAcentral.